CUGACAAGUUAGCCACCCCACCUCUACAAAUUUCUGCCUAACUCCAACUAAAACAUUCGCCCUUGUAUAAGUAUAGGAGAUAGAACACCACCCCCUGCGCAACAGCCAAUAGUACUAUAUAGGAAUACUGAAAGAACACUGAAAACUCAAAGCACAAAAUAGCAGGGCCUAACCCCCGUACCUCUUGCAUCAUGGUCUAACCAGUCCAAUCCAGGUAAAGUGCACUAAAACCUGCCCACCCGAACCCAGACGAUCUACCCUAGAGCAAUCACUAUGGAUGCACCCUUCCCUGUGGCAAAANGNUGGGAAGACUUNAGGGUAGCGGUGAAACGCCAAUCGAGCCUGGCGAUAGCUGGUUGCUCAUCAAAUGAAUCCAAGUUCAACUCUAGUUUAACCUACCCGCACCCUUACGCCAAUGUCCCAACUAGAAGCUAUACAAGCAGGGACCAGCCUGCUUGUAAACGGAAACAGCCCCCCUNGCGGAUUAGAGAUACCCAAUUAUCUCGUAGGCCCCUAAGCAGCCACCAAUAAAAACCGCGUCAAAGCGCAAACCACAAAAAUACCCCAAAACUACACAAUCCCCAGUCAAUGACUGAGCCACCCUAGAACCCAAACUAGGGGGCCUACUAUUAGAACUAGUAACUAGAACCACUUCUCCACGGCACGUCUUUACGCCGGAAGGACCCCCACCGGCAAUUACCAGACACAACCACCUCACCAACCCUGUUACCCCGACACAGGCGUGCCUUAAAGUACCGGCAAAAUGUCCUAGAAGGAACUCGGCUAACUCGCCCCACCUGUUUACCAAAAACAUGGCCUUUAGCACAACAAGUAUUAAAGGUCCCGCCUGCCCGGUGAUCUACUUUAACGGCCGCGGUACUCUAACCGUGCAAAGGUAGCGUAAUCACUUGCCCCCUAAAUAGGGGCCUGUAUGAAUGGCUAGAUGAGGGCUUAACUGUCUCCUAGGACACCCCAAUGAACCUGCUCUUCCAGUACAAAAGCUGGGAUAACCCCAUAAGACGAGAAGACCCUGUGGAGCUUUUAAAUACACUACCAACCCACCCCAGCCCAUGGUAGCAACUUUAAGUUGGGGCGACUACGGAGAAAUGCAGAACCUCCAUGAAACAAACUAAACCCAGCCCAAGGCCUACACACCAAGGACACCCAACCCUUCGACCCAGCACACCUGAGCACCGGACCAAGUUACCCCAGGGAUAACAGCGCCAUCCCCCUUAAGAGUCCCUAUCGCCAGGGGGGUUUACGACCUCGAUGUUGGAUCAGGACACCCCGGUGGUGUAGCCGCUACCAAAGGUUCGUUUGUUCAACGACUAAUGUCCUA
Molecule: ribosomal RNA, 1339 nt
Filed under: Phyllodactylus lanei (Lane's leaf-toed gecko)
Lineage: Eukaryota; Metazoa; Chordata; Lepidosauria; Squamata; Phyllodactylidae
Description: partial 16S ribosomal RNA
Rfam family: Bacterial large subunit ribosomal RNA
Source: RNAcentral